Molecule: transfer RNA, 72 nt
Filed under: Canis lupus familiaris (dog)
Lineage: Eukaryota; Metazoa; Chordata; Mammalia; Carnivora; Canidae
Also listed under: 2 other names
Rfam family: tRNA
About the family: Transfer RNA (tRNA) molecules are approximately 80 nucleotides in length.
Source: Rfam by way of RNAcentral
GCCUGGUUGGCUCAGUUGGUAGAGUGUGUGACUCUUGAUCUUCCGUUGUGAGUUUGAGCCCUACAUUGGGCA